Long non-coding RNA from Eleginops maclovinus (Patagonian blennie), 790 nucleotides. RefSeq lists it as uncharacterized. Lineage: Eukaryota; Metazoa; Chordata; Actinopteri; Perciformes; Eleginopidae. The transcript is spliced from 6 exons. The record is from RefSeq and is a predicted model, not a curated record.
AGGUUAGAACAUCACAAAGCAAAGGAGCAUGGUGCUGGGUGCAGGGUGUGUUUAAAGCCGUCUCUGGUGCCUGCAGAACUGAAAACACUGUCAAAACAACCACCUUUACUUCAGUACUGAGACACACCUAAAGGGUCAAAUCAGCUAUAAAAACAGCAGUACAGGAAUUUAGGAGGCAGAGUUGGGGUGUCUAAAAACAUCAUAAUGUCAGGAUACGACCGUAUUUUGUCCAUUGAAAAUUUGAGUGAUGUUCCGAAUCCAUGGAAAGGUUUAACUAUGAACCGCUGCCUAGUGCUGGCUCUGGUUGUACUGCUGGUGAGCUCAGGAGUCAAUGAACUGCACGAUGCAAUGGAUUCUUUUGUUGAGGAGACAGGAAUAAGGUCUUUCGUUGGAAGUCUGCAGGAUGGUUCAAUAUUUCAGAUCUCACUAUGGGACAAUUUCAUGUGGUGGUGGGGAACUGAGGAACUCGGAAUGAUAAGAAGAAGAAAAAAGCCAAUUGGCAACAAAUCAAUCCUGAAACCCAAACCUAAAGUAUGAUUUGAAAAAAUAAAUGUAAUAAACAACAUGUUUCCAAAUAAAGAACCCAAAUACUCUUCAUGAUACCUUGCAUUUAAAGAUACCGAAUGUUACGUUUCAUCCAUUUUUGUUUAUAAAGCCAUUUCAUUUAUCAGACCGGACAAAUUAAAUCUACCUUUAGAAUUGUCAUUUACCGCCACAGUGUAACACAGUCUGAUAAUGUUUAUAAAAUGUGCCCUCGAAAACAUUGUAAUAAAACAUAUUCACACACAAA